This 231-nucleotide long non-coding RNA is filed under the name Nicotiana benthamiana. Its description in RNAcentral is "long non-coding RNA (NBEN_LNC041249)". The record is from RNAcentral. Lineage: Eukaryota; Viridiplantae; Streptophyta; Magnoliopsida; Solanales; Solanaceae.
GUUCCUUCUUCUCGGCAGUUGGCAGAUUUGUUAACUAAGGCUUUACCCGGGUCUACUAUUUCAACAUAUUUGUCCAAGUUGAUGGUGGUUUCCCCGCUUCAACUUGAGGGGGGGUGUUGAGAUAUAGGCUAUGAUGAUACACUAAUUCUGAGCUUAAUAAUUGCUCAUUUCCUUAAUUGUGGCUAAUUCUGUAAUUCCUUUAUUCUUUUGUAUUCUUUUGUAAAAUANNNN